AUUCACCAUUAUGUGCGACAAAAGUACCACGCCUAGUGUGUGGGAGGUGCCCCACCUCCACUUCAGGAGGUGCCCUACCUCUGCUUGCAAGUUUGCUGAAUCUCUAAGUGUUCAUGGCUCUGCUGCUACCUUGCAGCAUUUUGCUUUGCCGAUGGUCCUGCAGUGAAAGCGUCGCGACCGGUGCGUGGGGAGGUCGCUGACCUCCGCACGGUCCACCGCUAAGGAAGCCUGUGGGUUCUCCCUAAGCCCCAUCAUCUUCUUCUUCCUUUGGUCAUGGCCUUGAUUUAUAUGGUUGCUAGCUUCAUCCAUGAUUCGAUAUUUGUCUGGUUCUGACGUCUCUUCUUUGUCACUGCACUCCUUGUUUGUGGUGUCAUCAAAUCAAAUGUCGGGUGCGCUCAUUGUAGCCGACCUUCCCUCCUUUGAGGCUUCCUCCCCUUGUUGGGCAUUGGAUGGCGGUAGGUGGGGGCUCGGAUGUGCAGAGAAAGGUGCUGCCACUAACUUGAAGGGAGGUCGGUGUUUCUAGAUAAGCUUUGGUAGGUGUUCUCCUUCUGCUUUUAGUUCCC
RNAcentral lists this long non-coding RNA (563 nucleotides) under Setaria italica (foxtail millet). RNAcentral's name for it is "long non-coding RNA (SITA_LNC000957)". The record is from RNAcentral. Lineage: Eukaryota; Viridiplantae; Streptophyta; Magnoliopsida; Poales; Poaceae.